This 28-nucleotide transfer RNA is filed under the name Chione venosa var. venosa. RNAcentral describes it as "partial tRNA-His". Lineage: Eukaryota; Viridiplantae; Streptophyta; Magnoliopsida; Gentianales; Rubiaceae. The record is from RNAcentral.
CGGAUGUAGCCAAGUGGAUCAAGGCNGU